Molecule: long non-coding RNA, 392 nt
Filed under: Setaria viridis
Lineage: Eukaryota; Viridiplantae; Streptophyta; Magnoliopsida; Poales; Poaceae
Description: long non-coding RNA (SVIR_LNC008189)
Source: RNAcentral
UUGGGAGAAAUAUGGCCGAAACAAAAGCAUGACACACAAUAUUUACAUUCAUCACUGAAUAAAUUUUAGUAGUUUCAAUAUUCCACAAUGUGUUACAUAAUGUAUGCAUUUUUUUUCAAAUCAAGCUUCGGCGCCGACUCUCCAGGACGCUCAGCGUACCUCUGACCUUGAUUUUAGGAAAUCUAAUUAGUUGCAUGCAGCCGAUAAAUAAGGGUACGAGAGUCUGCUAAUUUGCCUAAAAAAACUAGAAUUACGCUUUUCAUUUGAGUCGAUUUGAGCAAAAUCUCAGAUCAAAGGCCAUAAAAUACGAUAUAGCAAGCUAAGAAAAAGUCGGAAGGUUGGAAUUGAUAAGAAAUGGCUAAACACGGAAUAUACUGUAUACUCCCUCCAUC